UUAACCUUGAUCACUUGGCUAAGGUGGUGUCUGCUGAGUUUCUUCACUAUACAGUUGUUAUGUUUCCUUUUGUAAUUUAUAAAUAGCAUGAGCUAUUUGGAGACUAUGUUAAUAUCCUGUAUCUCCUCAAACUUUUGCCCACUGGCUUUGGAAUUUCUGGGCAUAUUGCAUAAUGGUGAGGUUUGGGCUUCUGGUGUAUCCAUCACCCAAACAGUGAACAUUGUACCCAACAGGUGAUUUUUCAACUUUUGCCCUUCUCCCACCCCACUCCACUGUGGAAUUUUCAUGUCUGUUAUUUUCAUCUUUAUGUCCAUAUUGUUUUCUUAAAAUCAUUUUCAUAUCUAGGGAAUUUGGCCUUGUCAGUACUUAUGGUAAUUAAAUUCAAGCCACACUUAAUGAUAAGCAUCAUUGUCAUUGUUCUCCAUGAUAAUAAAUCGUUGAUAAUAAAUAAAACAAUCAAUGGUAAUAAAUAAAAUAUAGCAACGCUAUGUUCUUUACUUUUUAUAACCAGAAUCAAUAUUGAUGGUUUUCUCAAGUACAGCCAGGGUAUCAUGUAAUUAUAACAUCCAUCCCUUCCACUUUAAGAUAAACGUUCGGGGCCAUUUCUUCAGUAGAUGUGAUCUCUGCUCUUUACUGACAGAGGCGUGAGAAUCUCAAGAGCAUACUCUGUUGUCUGCUUAGCUCUCUGUGUUUGCUCAUUUACUAGGGCAGUGAUUGGCACAUGGUAUGAAUGAAUGAAUGAAUGAAUGAAUAUGGGGGUUGGCCAUUUGGUGGGUCUAGUUGGGAUUACACUCUUCAGCUCUCUUCCAGAUCCCAAUUAAGCGCAUGUAUGGGUACUUCCUGGCCUCUAGCACUGCGUAGAUGCUUGAGAUAUAGCUGUGCACAGAAUGGCAAAGAACCCUGACCAUGUGGGGCUUGGAUUCUAGUGAAAGGAGAGAAAUGGCAAACAAUAAAUGUAAUAGUAGGCAAAUUUGUGCUAUGUUAGAGGUCUUUACCUCUCCUAGAAAAAUAAAAAUGGUUACAGCAGGAUAGAUAGACCAGCAGUACCAGGAACACAGGCGGCGUCAGGCUGCAGUGGUGAAUAGUGCAAUAGGCAUCAUUGCCUAGGUGAGAUGUUAGCAGGGAGUAGAAAGAGCUAGGGAAGUUAGUUAGCAGGUGUCUAGUGAGGGCACGUCCCAGGACCAGUGAGGACCGGUGUGCAGGAGUGAAUUGAGGAAUGAGUCCAGAGAGAUAAAGGCAGACAUGAAAGUCUUGUCCUUUGCAAGGACUCAGCCUUGCAAUCUGAGUGAAAUGGGAAAUAUUAGAAUGUUUUGAACAGAGGAAUGGCGUGAAGGGGCUUAGGUCUAAAAAGGAUCUCUCUGGAGAUCUUAGACUGUGGCGGGCAAAGGUGAAAGUCCUUCAGGAGACUUUGAGGUGGUCUAGGUGUGAUUUGAUGGGCCAGGAGAUAGCAGCAGAGGUGGGGAGCAGUGAGUCAGAUUCUGGUAGUAUUUUAAGUGGAGGAAACAGGAUUGUGAGUGUGAUCAAUAAAGUCAGGACUGAGAAUGACAUUUGCUACUUUGUCCUGUCAGCUAAGUCACCCUUAUGUUGUGCGUUUGUUCUCAGAUGGGGACUAAGAAUUGACUGUUGCGUUUGGCAAUGUGUGGGUCUUUGGGGACCUUGGCAGGAGCAGUGUUGGUGCUGUAGUGGGGGCAAAAGCCUGGAUGGAGUAAGUUUAAAGGGAGGAAUUACAAGAAAGGGAUCAGAGACAGCAGAUAUGGACAGCGAUUGCAGGAAGUUUUCUGCAAAGUGGAACUGGUGGCGGUGGUGGGUAAGCAAAGUAGUUAUUUUGUUUAAGAUGGUAGAAAUGACAGCAAAUAUGCUGAUGGGAAUGACUAAGAAGAGCAAGCAAAAUUGAUGGAGCACAAGAGAGCAGGGAGAACGGCUAGAGGGAUGUCCUUAAGUUGCAAGUGCAGAUAGGACCUUUCACCCAGUCCUCCUCAAGCAGGGAGGUGCAGAUAUGGGUGCCAUGUGCUGGGAGCCCAUGUUAUGGUGUGGUUUGUACAAGUUGUCUUCUAAUUACUUCAAUUUUCUCAGUGGGUAGGAAGUUGAAGGUGAUGAUGGAGGAGGUAUGGGAGUUUCAAAGGAGGAAGCAUUCUUCCAUUUAUUAAACAGCAAAUCUCUGUUGAGUAGAAUGCUGGGGGCUUUCCUCUGUGUUGAGGAAUACAGUGAUGAACAAGUCUAACAAUCAUUCUGGGAUUGAUGAAUAAAUACGCUAAGUUUAGAUAGCAGUUGGUACUAAUGAAGAAAAUAACUCAGGAAUAUGAUCGCAAUGAGUAGGAGGGAGGAUUCCAAACCGAUUUUGG
Molecule: long non-coding RNA, 2342 nt
Filed under: Homo sapiens (human)
Lineage: Eukaryota; Metazoa; Chordata; Mammalia; Primates; Hominidae
Description: non-protein coding lnc-IL36G-1:1
Source: RNAcentral